This 691-nucleotide long non-coding RNA is filed under the name Brassica napus (rape). RNAcentral describes it as "long non-coding RNA (BNAP_LNC012989)". Lineage: Eukaryota; Viridiplantae; Streptophyta; Magnoliopsida; Brassicales; Brassicaceae. The record is from RNAcentral.
CAGCCUUUUCGGAUUAUCCAACAAAAAUCUACAACUAAUUAUAUAUAUAUAUAUGUUCACAUAUGGUUUUGUAUCAUAGAAAAACAAAUAGUCUAUUUGGAAAAGAAGAACUACAAUGUCGUCAAUAAAAUUAGCUAUUUUUUGCAUUAUCCUCGUUUCUUUCGUUAGUCUUCAUGAUUGUAUGUCAUCUAAAGGUUUAGUUUUCGUUCAAAUUUUUAUCAUCAUUGUCAUCAUCGUCAUAUCAUCCAUAGUGUUUUAAUUGGUUUGUUCUUUAAUUUUUUUAUAUAGGUUUCGCAAUAAAUUUCAUGCCCUGCAAAAAAGGAGUUGCUGGUGACUGGUGCUGCACUAAAGGAGGGUUAGAAUGCACAAAGGACCACGCAGAAUGUGCGCAAAGCUGCCUUUAACAGGCUAAACCUUAACCAAAUUGUAAUUUUUUUUUAAAAAUAAUUUUUAAUUUUUAAUAAAGAAAAUCUUGCCCUUACUAGCAAGAUGGAGUAUAUAAUUAAACCUAUAAACCAAAUCCAUAGAUAAUUUGGUUAUUUUAAGUGUAUAUGUGUAAAUUUUUAUAUAUUAUUGUGCAAAUGUGAUAUUUUCUUAUCACUUAUCAAAUAGUAUGUUUGUAAUAUUAUAAAGUUACGCAUUAAUGUUUAGGUAUAUUUAAAUAUUUUCUUACGUAUGCUAUGAAUCCUUU